This 444-nucleotide ribosomal RNA is filed under the name uncultured bacterium. RNAcentral describes it as "partial 16S ribosomal RNA". It matches the Rfam family "Bacterial small subunit ribosomal RNA", at positions 354 to 796 of the family's 1533-position model. The record is from RNAcentral.
GUAGGGAAUAUUGGGCAAUGGUCGGAAGACUGACCCAGCCAUGCCGCGUGCAGGAAGACGGCCCUCUGGGUUGUAAACUGCUUUUAUCUGGGAAGAAAAAGGCCAUGCGUGGCAAAUUGCCGGUACCAGAUGAAUAAGCACCGGCUAACUCCGUGCCAGCAGCCGCGGUAAUACGGAGGGUGUGAGCGUUGUCCGGAUUUAUUGGGUUUAAAGGGUGCGUAGGCGGCUGAUUAAGUCAGCGGUGAAAGACUUCGGCUUAACCGGAGCAGUGCCGUUGAUACUGGUUGGCUUGAGUGUCGGAGGGGUACAUGGAAUUGAUGGUGUAGCGGUGAAAUGCAUAGAUACCAUCAGGAACACCGAUAGCGAAGGCAUUGUACUGGCCGACAACUGACGCUGAUGCACGAAAGUGUGGGGAUCGAACAGGAUUAGAAACCCUGGUAGUCC